This is a long non-coding RNA of Ahaetulla prasina, 2957 nucleotides long. RefSeq lists it as uncharacterized. Lineage: Eukaryota; Metazoa; Chordata; Lepidosauria; Squamata; Colubridae. The transcript has 6 exons. The record is from RefSeq and is a predicted model, not a curated record.
GCCGGAAAUAAGGCGUUGCGAAAGCGAAUCUGCGAAGCGUGUCUUGCCGGUUCUCCUCUGGGAUCCCCGACUUGCUCUUGCACGGGUCGUCGCUGGCCGCGUGCCGAAGCAAUGCCCGGCGGCCCCGGAAAGGCCUCUCGUUCUCUCCCAGAGCCCGCCGCUAGCUCUUCCCAGCUAUGGGCCGUGUGCUUAGCCGCUACUCCCAGCGUCCUCAGUGGAGGGAGAGAAAGGAGUUACCUGGGGGUCCCGUGAGAAAAACUGUUUCUGAUUGUAGUAUGUUGGACCAAGUGCAUUUUAUCUGAAUUGAAGAGCAAUUCUGGGCAUUGGAUCUGAAACAGCAGCGGUGAUCAAGUGAGGAUCAGUGGAAAAAUAUGGAACUGAAUAAAGAAACAAUACUGUCUUGAAUGGGCAGUUAGUGUAAUAAGGGCUGAAGCCGUGAGAAGAUUGCUACACUCAAGAGUGAGGGUGAUUUCACUAUAGGUACGGUAUACCAGUCCCAGCUAUUAACAAUUUUACUAACCUCAUUUCUUCCUACUACUGAUUCUGUGCCUUUUAAAGACUGGUGUGCAUACUCUCCUUCCAUGAACAAAUAUCUAUCAGAAGUUGUUUUGUAUAAAGUCAAGCUGCACUGCCCAGUAUUCAGAAGCCAAGCUGCAAAAGUUUUUGAGAUCAGUUUGACAAGAAAAAUGGCAGCAAUAUUCAGUAGUUGUAGUGAGCCAUAAGUCCAGCAGAUGGCAAUUAUAGACUCUCCAUGGGAAUUCCAAUUAUCUCAAAUUUCCUAUAAGCCAUGCAGUAAAAUAGAAAGAAUAUGUUUGGUAUGUUUUUUAUAAUAAUUUUUUCUACUUGGCUAGAUUAAAUAGUCAAAGGACAAAGGAAAUAAAAUGACAGUUUAGAUGCUACAAGUUUCAAUAGUUUUAAGUAGUGAUGAAAGCCUUUUGGGGGUAACAGUUAAAGGACCAGGCUACAAACAAUGAGGCUGCAAGUUCUAGGCCUACUUUAGGCACAAAAUCAGCUGGGUAAUUUUGGACCAGUCACUCACUGUCAGCCCUAGGAAGCAGGCAAGGGAAAAUCACUUCUGAAAUCUUUUUAAUAAAACUGCAGGGACUAGUCCAGGCAAUCAUCAGGAGUCAACAUUGACUAGAAGGUGUAGACGUGCGCACACACACACACACAUGGUAGUGAUAAGCUGGUAAUAAUAAUCAGAAUAGAGCUAGAAGGGACCUUGGAGGUCUUCUAGUCCAACCCCCUGCUGAAGCAGGGGACCUAUACAAUUUGAGGCAAGUGGCUGUCCAGACUCUUCUUAAAAACAUCCAGUGAUGAAGCACCCACAACUCCUGAAAUCUUUAUUAAAUCUUUAGAAUACAAUCUUUUUAAAAGUGAUAUAUAAAGUCACAAAGUCAUACUGACUUAUCAAUGGUGUCUAUGCUCACUAUAUAGAAAGAAAGCUGCAUAAGACUGAAAGUUUGACUGCAGUUUUAAGUUUUUCAUACUUGCUGACUUUUUGUUUUUAACGGCACGCUCCAGAAAUAAUACUUUCACAGUGUGGAGAGAUACUAAGAACACUGUGAUUAAAUGCAGGACAAUUCCACCUGCACAAUUACUAAUGUGCCUAUUUGUAGAGAACGUGUGAAAAUUCCACUCCAUGAAUUCCAGGCUCUGAAAGGGCUAACCUUCCUGAUCUGUCAAUCCAGAUAAUGAGCAGUCAGCUGAAAUCCAGGAAAGGCUGCAUAACCAAUUCCUCCACAGGUAAACGUUUGUAAGAGACAGAGGUAGCCUCCAUUUUAUCUUUGUCUUUUGGUAUUCAUAUUUUCUUCUCCCAGGCUUGGUAAAAGCAAAUAAGGGACUGCCCUCCUCCCCGCCAGCUGGCAGCAAUAGACCUUGUUUCUAAUAAGCAGGGCAGUAAGCUAGUUGUAAUACACAUUCGGUUUUUGUUUCUGAGUUGAAAUUGGGUUAUAGGAAUAUGCUCUGAUGUGUAUCAACAGAUCUAACCAUCCAGCUAGUCCUUGAACUAAUAAUAAUUGAAAUCAACAUCUUCAGAAAGUAAUUGUUCAUUUUGUCUUCCUUUUCUUUUUUCUAGGGAUGGAUGGAUGGGUGGAUGGAUGGAUGGGUGACAUGGAAUUAUUUAAGAACUGGUGGUACUAAGAAAAACUGCCUUAUAGCACAAACCAAGGCAGGAUAUCUGAAAGAAGUUGACCAAAGAGUGACAGAAGAGAAAGCAAGCAAACCAAACCUAAUCAGCUGUCCUUGGGAGUUUUUGGGUUGGUGCAGAAGUGGUUGGUGGGAGGAAGCUCCUAUUGUGAAACAGCAGAAGCCUAGGUCAACAAAUCUGUUGUAUGUAUCUAUCUAUCGCACUAGAACACAAAGGUAACUAUUGAGAGGCUGCAUGUUAAUAGAGGAGGGGAACAAGAAGAUCAAGAAUUGGCUUCUUACUGUAGUUUCUUCUGCAUAUUAGCCCAAAUUACCAGAAUGGGUUCAAAAUACGCAGUGAAACGUCUUGUUGCUGAGGCAGACAAAUGCUUAUUUAUAUGGUCUGGUUGCUUGGGAGAGUGGCCACUGUCUUGUAGAAGCUAGGAGAAGAAAUCAGAAGCCCUAAAAGGAGGAGAUGCCUAGCCAAUAAGGGCCUCUUGUGGCUCAACAGACUAAUGCAGUCUGUUAUUAACACAGCUGCCUGCAAUUACUGCAGGUUCUAGUCCCACCAGGCCCAAGGUUGGGUCAGCCUUCCAUCCUUUAUAAGGGUCUGCCCAACUAACCAAGACAGCCUGGAGCAAUGCAUCAGUUACUGGUUCGAGCUGUUACUCAGUGCCACCAACUUCCUUUACUUCCCUCAGUCACAGCUACAGAAGCAAAGCUAAAAGAAGAAUGUCAUCUCCUUUCUCAUCAUCAUUUUGGAAAAGAUCGCAAUUGAGACAAUGGUGAUAACUGAUAGACUUUCUCAACCGCCUUCAUAAAAAUAUGUU